UCAUACCAUCAUCACCAUCACCA
RNAcentral lists this small nuclear RNA (23 nucleotides) under Arabidopsis thaliana (thale cress). RNAcentral's name for it is "snRNA_02819". Lineage: Eukaryota; Viridiplantae; Streptophyta; Magnoliopsida; Brassicales; Brassicaceae. The record is from RNAcentral.